This 583-nucleotide ribosomal RNA is filed under the name uncultured bacterium. RNAcentral describes it as "bacterial SSU rRNA". It matches the Rfam family "Bacterial small subunit ribosomal RNA", at positions 338 to 916 of the family's 1533-position model. The record is from RNAcentral.
CCUACGGGAGGCAGCAGUGGGGAAUUUUGGACAAUGGGCGAAAGCCUGAUCCAGCCAUUCCGCGUGCAGGAUGAAGGCCCUCGGGUUGUAAACUGCUUUUGUACAGAACGAAAAGGUUUCUAUUAAUACUAGGAGCUCAUGACGGUACUGUAAGAAUAAGCACCGGCUAACUACGUGCCAGCAGCCGUGGUAAUACGUAGGGUGCAAGCGUUAAUCGGAAUUACUGGGCGUAAAGCGUGCGCAGGCGGUUAUAUAAGUCAGAUGUGAAAUCCCCGGGCUCAACCUGGGAACUGCAUUUGAGACUGUAUAGCUAGAGUACGGUAGAGGGGAUGGAAUUCCGCGUGUAGCAGUGAAAUGCGUAGAUAUGCGGAGGAACACCGAUGGCGAAGGCAAUCCCCUGGACCUGUACUGACGCUCAUGCACGAAAGCGUGGGGAGCAAACAGGAUUAGAUACCCUGGUAGUCCACGCCCUAAACGAUGUCAACUGGUUGUUGGGUCUUAACUGACUCAGUAACGAAGCUAACGCGUGAAGUUGACCGCCUGGGGAGUACGGCCGCAAGGUUGAAACUCAAAUGAAUUACGG